Molecule: long non-coding RNA, 931 nt
Filed under: Marmota monax (woodchuck)
Lineage: Eukaryota; Metazoa; Chordata; Mammalia; Rodentia; Sciuridae
Source: RNAcentral
CUGUGGGUGGGGGAGGGCUGGGCCCAGCUGCUGGUGGACACACAGACCCUCUUAAAGAAGAGCCUCCCUCUGGGUGGUUCUGCUGGCAUGAAUUUUCCUGAAACCGUGACCACUUCCGGUUCCUGGGAGGCUGUUGGGGAGAGAGUUGCCACCAGGGAGAAAAAGGGAGUUUCAGAAGGAAAGCCCCCAAACCCAGAGAGAGGCAAGGGGGAGGGGAACUGGCUUGGUGGCCUCCACUUCCUGCAGCGGUGGCUGGGGAUGCCUGCAGGGCUGUGGACACCCAGAGGGCGGCCAGGCCUGAGCCCUGAGUCAGGAUCUGGGGCAGCUCAGGGACUGGGGGUGUUUAACAUGGUCACUGGCCUGGGCCUAGACAAACCUAGAUUUAAAAAAAAGAUCUCAUUUCAUGAUUUUUCACCCAUAAUUACUUUGGUCUCCUUUCUUCUCCAUAGACCUGAAACAAUGGCAGCAGAGAAAGGGUGGUGACACUUGUUGCCUUUCUCCACCCAGCACUGGGGCAGGGCUGGGGUCAAGGGGAGGCCUGUGGCCCCUUCCAUCUCAUUUGCAUACAAUGAGCCCAUAAAUCAAUCCCCACCUUCUCCUUCCUGCCUGCCUGGCUCUGCCCCUCCCCUGGCCUGAGCUCACCAGGAAGAGCUUGGGGUGAGGCCUGGGAGCCUCGACUUGGCCUGCCUGGAGGUGACCCUGGUCCUGUCAGCAUCUCACUUGUCCUGCUCGGGGCAACCUGUUUCCUCACACGAGUGAGUCACAUUGCUUUCCAGUUGGCACCAGGAAGUGGAGACCAUGGCAUGAGCUGCUGGGAGGACAGAGAAGAGGGCUCCGGGGAGAUGCUCCCACAGAGACUCUGGAGCAGACCCUGCAGAAGCUGAUGGGCCCAAUGGGGGUCUGCAGGCUCAAGAACGAGAUACGCCCUUUC